RNAcentral lists this unclassified non-coding RNA (159 nucleotides) under uncultured Roesleria. RNAcentral's name for it is "sequence contains ITS1". Lineage: Eukaryota; Fungi; Ascomycota; Leotiomycetes; Helotiales. The record is from RNAcentral.
CAGAGUUCCUGCCCUCACGGGUAGAAACCCCACCCUUGUAUAUCAUAUCUUGUUGCUUUGGCGAGCCGCCCUCGCGGGCACCGGCUCACGCUGGCUCGCGCCCGCCAAAGGACCCCAAACUCUGAAGUAUAGUGUCGUCUGAGUACUAUCUAAUAGUUA